Molecule: transfer RNA, 73 nt
Filed under: Pirellulaceae bacterium
Lineage: Bacteria; Pseudomonadati; Planctomycetota; Planctomycetia; Pirellulales; Pirellulaceae
Description: tRNA-Ala
Rfam family: tRNA
About the family: Transfer RNA (tRNA) molecules are approximately 80 nucleotides in length. Their secondary structure includes four short double-helical elements and three loops (D, anti-codon, and T loops).
Source: RNAcentral
GGGGGUGUAGCUCAGUUGGGAGAGCGCCUGCUUUGCACGCAGGAGGUCAUCGGUUCAAGUCCGUUCACCUCCA